AACAGAUGACUGAAAGACCUCUUCUCGAUCCAUCCAGCCCAAUACUGUACUGUCAAUGAGAACUGGCAGCUGCUUCCCAGGGCUCCAGAUUGCAUUAAGCUAUGAGUGCAUGCUGGCAAAGCAGGCUGGGCUCCAUAUUGUAUCAUUUCCAGCUAGACUCAACAUGGGGGCAACAGGAGUUGUAAUCCAACAUGGAGUGUGCCAGGCACUAUACUGUGACAGAAGGAAGGCAGGAGUAAGAGCAUCAUUUUGGUACCUGAAGCUUUGCAACUUACCGAAGGAUCUACCUGAUCGUUGGUUAUGCCACGGAGAACAAUUCUUAAUGGGUGUUUCAUGAA
Molecule: long non-coding RNA, 338 nt
Organism: Sceloporus undulatus (fence lizard)
Lineage: Eukaryota; Metazoa; Chordata; Lepidosauria; Squamata; Phrynosomatidae
Exons: 3
Source: RefSeq, a predicted model, not a curated record